CGGUGCGGCGCGGAUCUGCAGGUGGCCGGCCCUGUCGCCUCGCGCGGUCGCGCCCUCCGCGGCUCGGGCCGCCCGACCCCUCUGGUGGAUCUGCAAGCGGCCGUCCCUGUCCCCUCGCGCGGUCGCGUCCUCCGCGGCUUGGGCCGCCCGACCCCUCGGGUGGAUCUGCAGGCCGGCGCGGCGUGGCGCGGCGCGGAUCUGC
RNAcentral lists this long non-coding RNA (202 nucleotides) under Setaria italica (foxtail millet). RNAcentral describes it as "long non-coding RNA (SITA_LNC005546)". The record is from RNAcentral. Lineage: Eukaryota; Viridiplantae; Streptophyta; Magnoliopsida; Poales; Poaceae.